GGGCGGUUAGCUCAGCGGCAGAGCGCUGCAUUCACAUUGCAGAUGCCACAGGUUCGAAUCCUGUACCGCCCACCA
RNAcentral lists this transfer RNA (75 nucleotides) under bacterium. RNAcentral's name for it is "tRNA-Val". It matches the Rfam family "tRNA". Rfam says of the family: Transfer RNA (tRNA) molecules are approximately 80 nucleotides in length. Their secondary structure includes four short double-helical elements and three loops (D, anti-codon, and T loops). The record is from RNAcentral.